RNAcentral lists this ribosomal RNA (270 nucleotides) under uncultured archaeon. RNAcentral describes it as "partial 16S ribosomal RNA". It matches the Rfam family "Archaeal small subunit ribosomal RNA", at positions 477 to 747 of the family's 1478-position model. The record is from RNAcentral.
CAGCACCUCAAGUGGUCAGGAUGAUUAUUGGGCCUAAAGCAUCCGUAGCCGGCUCUGUAAGUUUUCGGUUAAAUCUGUACGCUCAACGUACAGGCUGCCGGGAAUACUGCAGAGCUAGGGAGUGGGAGAGGUAGACGGUACUCGGUAGGAAGGGGUAAAAUCCUUUGAUCUAUUGAUGACCACCUGUGGCGAAGGCGGUCUACCAGAACAAGUCCGACGGUGAGGGAUGAAAGCUGGGGGAGCAAACCGGAUUAGAUACCCGUGUAGUCC